GAUGAACGCUGGCGGCGUGCCUAAUACAUGCAAGUCGAGCGAACGGACGCGAAGCUUGCUUCUCUGAUGUUAGCGGCGGACGGGUGAGUAACACGUGGAUAACCUCCCUAUAAGACUGGGAUAACUUCGGGAAACCGGAGCUAAUACCGGAUGAUAUUUUGAACCACAUGGUUCAAAAGUGAAAGACGGUCUUGCUGUCACUUAUAGAUGGAUCCGCGCUGCAUUAGCUAGUUGGUAAGGUAACGGCUUACCAAGGCAACGAUGCAUAGCCGACCUGAGAGGGUGAUCGGCCACACUGGAACUGAGACACGGUCCAGACUCCUACGGGAGGCAGCAGUAGGGAAUCUUCCGCAAUGGGCGAAAGCCUGACGGAGCAACGCCGCGUGAGUGAUGAAGGUCUUCGGAUCGUAAAACUCUGUUAUUAGGGAAGAACAUAUGUGUAAGUAACUGUGCACAUCUUGACGGUACCUAAUCAGAAAGCCACGGCUAACUACGUG
This 497-nucleotide ribosomal RNA is filed under the name uncultured bacterium. RNAcentral's name for it is "partial 16S ribosomal RNA". It matches the Rfam family "Bacterial small subunit ribosomal RNA", at positions 28 to 507 of the family's 1533-position model. The record is from RNAcentral.